GUGCCAGCAGCCGCGGUAAUACGAGAGGCCCAAACGUUAUUCGGAUUUACUGGGCUUAAAGAGUUCGUAGGCGGUCCAGAAAGUGGGGUGUGAAAUCCCUCGGCUCAACCGAGGAACUGCGCUCCAAACUACUGGACUCGAGGGGGAUAGAGGUAAGCGGAACUGAUGGUGGAGCGGUGAAAUGCGUUGAUAUCAUCAGGAACACCGGAGGCGAAGGCGGCUUACUGGGUCCUUUCUGACGCUGAGGAACGAAAGCUAGGGGAGCAAACGGGAUUAGAUACCCCAGUAGUCC
This 292-nucleotide ribosomal RNA is filed under the name uncultured bacterium. Its description in RNAcentral is "partial 16S ribosomal RNA". It matches the Rfam family "Bacterial small subunit ribosomal RNA", at positions 505 to 796 of the family's 1533-position model. The record is from RNAcentral.